GGUGAGUUGGCAGAGUGGUCGAAUGCACUACCUUGGAAAGGUAGCAAACGAGUAAUCGUUUCAUAGGUUCGAAUCCUAUACUCACCG
RNAcentral lists this transfer RNA (87 nucleotides) under Gammaproteobacteria bacterium. RNAcentral describes it as "tRNA-Ser". It matches the Rfam family "tRNA". Rfam says of the family: Transfer RNA (tRNA) molecules are approximately 80 nucleotides in length. Their secondary structure includes four short double-helical elements and three loops (D, anti-codon, and T loops). The record is from RNAcentral. Lineage: Bacteria; Pseudomonadati; Pseudomonadota; Gammaproteobacteria.